RNAcentral lists this unclassified non-coding RNA (263 nucleotides) under plant metagenome. RNAcentral describes it as "partial contains small subunit ribosomal RNA, internal transcribed spacer 1, and 5.8S ribosomal RNA". The record is from RNAcentral.
UUUCCGUAGGUGAACCUGCGGAAGGAUCAUUAUUGUAUAACCGAGGUGCGAGGGCUGUCGCUGACCCGAAAGGUCGUGCACGCCCGAGUGCCCUCACACACAUCCAUCUCACCCCUAUGUGCACCACCGCGUGGGUCCCCCUUUGGCUUGUUCGGAGGGGGGCUUACGUGGUCACACAAACUUUGUAUGCAGUGUAGAAUGUAUUUUUUGUUUUUGCGAUCACGCAAUCAAUACAACUUUCAACAACGGAUCUCUUGGCUCUC